Molecule: ribosomal RNA, 782 nt
Filed under: uncultured bacterium
Lineage: Bacteria
Description: bacterial SSU rRNA
Rfam family: Bacterial small subunit ribosomal RNA
Source: RNAcentral
AGAGUUUGAUCCUGGCUCAGGAUGAACGCUAGCGGCAGGCCUAAUACAUGCAAGUCGAACGGGUGGUAGCAAUACCAUAGUGGCGCACGGGUGCGUAACGCGUAACCAACCUACCCGAAUCUGGGGGAUAGCCCGCCGAAAGGCGGAUUAAUACCGCAUAAUACUUGUGACCGGCAUCGGUUAUUAGUUAAAGAUUUAUUGGAUUCGGAUGGGGUUGCGUGCCAUUAGCUAGUUGGCGGGGUAACGGCCCACCAAGGCGACGAUGGCUAGGGGAGCUGAGAGGCUGGUCCCCCACACGGGCACUGAGAUACGGGCCCGACUCCUACGGGAGGCAGCAGUAGGGAAUAUUGGGCAAUGGGCGAGAGCCUGACCCAGCCAUGCCGCGUGCAGGAUGAAGGCUUUCUGAGUCGUAAACUGCUUUUGCCAGGGAAGAAAAAAGGGGAUGCGUCCCCUACUGACGGUACCUGGUGAAUAAGCACCGGCUAACUCCGUGCCAGCAGCCGCGGUAAUACGGAGGGUGCAAGCGUUGUCCGGAUUUAUUGGGUUUAAAGGGUGCGUAGGCGGUGCUUUAAGUCUGGGGUGAAAGCCCGUUGCUCAACAACGGAACUGCCCUGGAAACUGGAGCACUUGAGUACAGACGAGGGUGGCGGAAUGGAUGGUGUAGCGGUGAAAUGCAUAGAUACCAUCCAGAACCCCGAUUGCGAAGGCAGCUGCCUAGACUGUUACUGACGCUGAGGCACGAAAGCGUGGGGAGCGAACAGGAUUAGAUACCCCAGUAGUCC